Molecule: long non-coding RNA, 1024 nt
Filed under: Camarhynchus parvulus
Lineage: Eukaryota; Metazoa; Chordata; Aves; Passeriformes; Thraupidae
Description: lncRNA (ENSCPVG00000007380.2)
Source: RNAcentral
CCCACCGCCCGGCCACGCCGUCGGGGGCCGCCCCGCCGGGGCCCGUGGGCGGCGACGUGGCCAGCGACAGCUACAACAACCUGUUCCGCGACGUGGAGGGGCUGCGGCGCCUGGGGGUCUCGCACUACCGCUUCUCGCUGUCCUGGGCCCGGCUGCUGCCCAACGGGACGGCGCCGCCCAACCCGGCCGGGCUGGCGCACUACGGGCGGCUGCUGGCCCGCCUGCGGGAGCUGGGCGUCGAGCCCGUGGUCACCCUCUACCACUGGGACCUGCCGCAGGCCCUGCAGGACGCCUUCGGCGGCUGGGCCAGCCCCGUCCUGCCCGGGCUCUUCCGCGACUACGCCGAGCUGUGCUUCCGGCACUUCGGCGGGCAGGUGCGCUACUGGCUGACCAUGGACAACCCGUACGUGGUGGCCUGGCAUGGCUACGGCACGGGGCGGCUGCCGCCCGGCGUGCGGGGAGGCCCGCGCCUGGCCUACCUGGCCGCCCACCACCUGCUCCAGGUAAAUGGCGCGAAGGGGCCCCGGCGGCUCCUCGGCCGUGCCAAGGUGGCGGGCUCGCAGGCCGAGCUCAGCCCGUCCCACCGGCCCACCUGUCCCCUGGUCCGACACUGGUGUGGAACACAGAUCCAUAUGCCCGACAGAUUGCGGGCAGCAGAUGUAUAGGCAAAGACGCAAAACUCAUGGUGUAAGGCAGGAGCUUACUUGAGCUACUUACACCAGAGACUGAGCUGGUGGAGAGUUAAAAGAGCUCUGUUUUGCAGAAAUGUCCACUUCUGCCCUCGGCAGUUCAGUGGCCAUUCUGGGUGGAUGAGGGUCUGCAGACCCUGGACUGUGCCACUCCAGUGCUGCCUUUCCAAGGUGGAAAUGCUUAAUAAGACUGUAAAGGGAAUUAGUGUAUUUGAUAAAAAAGGCUCACUGAAUUAAUGGAGGUGGUUGCGGUGGCCAAUAUGUCAAACAGAGACAUUUUCUUGACAGAGUAUGAUGGUUUUUUGAGCGUGAGCACUUUUUGGGGAAAGAGACCC